ACGCUCGACACCUACGGGAGGCAGCAGGUAGGGGAAGUAUUGCACAAGUAGGGGGAAACCCGUGAUGCAGCAACGCCGCGUGAAGGAAGACGGUUUCGGUAUGUAAACUUCUGUUCUUAGUGAAGAUAGUGACGGUAGCUAAGGAGCAACGCCGACGGCCUAACUACGUGCCAGCACGGCCGGGUAAUCUGAGGCGGGCUGGCGAACGGC
RNAcentral lists this ribosomal RNA (210 nucleotides) under uncultured bacterium. RNAcentral's name for it is "partial 16S ribosomal RNA". It matches the Rfam family "Bacterial small subunit ribosomal RNA", at positions 328 to 540 of the family's 1533-position model. The record is from RNAcentral.